Molecule: ribosomal RNA, 468 nt
Filed under: uncultured bacterium
Lineage: Bacteria
Description: partial 16S ribosomal RNA
Rfam family: Bacterial small subunit ribosomal RNA
Source: RNAcentral
GACGAACGCUGGCGGCGUGCUUAACACAUGCAAGUCGAACGGAAAGGCCCUGCUUUUGUGGGUUGCUCAAGUGGCGAACGGGUGAGUAACACGUGAGUAACCUGCCCGUGACUUUGGGAUAACUUCAGGAAACUGGGGCUAAUACCGGAUAGGAGCUCCUGCUGCAUGGUGGGGGUUGGAAAGUUUCGGCGGUUGGGGAUGGACUCGCGGCUUAUCAGCUUGUUGGUGGGGUAGUGGCUUACCAAGGCUUUGACGGGUAGCCGGCCUGAGAGGCUGACCGGCCACAUUGGGACUGAGGUACGGCCCAGACUGCUACGGGAGGCAGCAGUGGGGUAUAUUGCAGGAUGGGCGGAAGCCUGAUGAAGCAACGCCGCGUGCGGGAUGACGGCCUUCGGGUUGUAAACCGCUUUCGCAUGUGACGAAGCGUGAGUGACGGUAAUGGGUAAAGAAGCACCGGCUAACUACGUG